GACGAACGCUGGCGGCGUGCUUAACACAUGCAAGUCGAACGGAAAGGCCCUGCUUUUGUGGGGUGCUCGAGUGGCGAACGGGUGAGUAACACGUGAGUAACCUGCCCUUGACUUUGGGAUAACUUCAGGAAACUGGGGCUAAUACCGGAUAGGAGCUCCUGCUGCAUGGUGGGGGUUGGAAAGUUUCGGCGGUUGGGGAUGGACUCGCGGCUUAUCAGCUUGUUGGUGGGGUAGUGGCUUACCAAGGCUUUGACGGGUAGCCGGCCUGAGAGGGUGACCGGCCACAUUGGGACUGAGAUACGGCCCAGACUCCUACGGGAGGCAGCAGUGGGGAAUAUUGCACAAUGGGCGGAAGCCUGAUGCAGCAACGCCGCGUGCGGGAUGACGGCCUUCGGGUUGUAAACCGAUUUCGCCUGUGACGAAGAGUGAGUGACGGUAAUGGGUAAAGAAGCACCGGCUAACUACGUG
This 468-nucleotide ribosomal RNA is filed under the name uncultured bacterium. RNAcentral's name for it is "partial 16S ribosomal RNA". It matches the Rfam family "Bacterial small subunit ribosomal RNA", at positions 28 to 507 of the family's 1533-position model. The record is from RNAcentral.